RNAcentral lists this ribosomal RNA (117 nucleotides) under Sycophila sp. 2 CH-2014. RNAcentral's name for it is "partial 16S ribosomal RNA". Lineage: Eukaryota; Metazoa; Arthropoda; Insecta; Hymenoptera; Eurytomidae. The record is from RNAcentral.
AAGAUUUUAAAAGUCGAACAGACUUAAAAUAAUUAUUUUCUACAAUAAAAUUUAAUCUUAAUUCAACAUCGAGGUCGCAAACACUUUUAUCAAUAUGAACUCUCCAAAAAUAUAACG